GCCUCCAUAGCUCAACGGAUAGAGCAACAGACUUCUAAUCUGCAGGUUUCCGGUUCGAAUCCGGAUGGGGGCA
Molecule: transfer RNA, 73 nt
Filed under: Arcanobacterium wilhelmae
Lineage: Bacteria; Bacillati; Actinomycetota; Actinomycetes; Actinomycetales; Actinomycetaceae
Also listed under: 1 other name
Description: tRNA-Arg
Rfam family: tRNA
About the family: Transfer RNA (tRNA) molecules are approximately 80 nucleotides in length. Their secondary structure includes four short double-helical elements and three loops (D, anti-codon, and T loops).
Source: RNAcentral